This 1283-nucleotide long non-coding RNA is filed under the name Homo sapiens (human). RNAcentral's name for it is "HSALNT0366439". Lineage: Eukaryota; Metazoa; Chordata; Mammalia; Primates; Hominidae. The record is from RNAcentral.
AGCGGAGCCGGCGGCGGCGAGUAGGGGGCAAUUCGAAGGAGACGCGCAGCUUACACCCGCGGCGGGUGGAGGGAGCAAUGUGACGAAACCAUUGAGCUUGACCGACCUUCCCUCAUGGAGUUGGCUUUUAGCCUCACGGCCGGUUUCUGUUGGGUGAAAGCCGCACCUUCUCCUCGAACCAGGGCCCGACAUUGGAGCCCUCUCCCUCGCAUCCACUGCCCUAGUCCAGCGUCAAGAUCACGGAAUUCCAGGCUGGGCGCAGUGGCUCACGCCUGUAAUCCCAGCACUUUGGGAGGCUGAGGCUGUGAGCCACCGUGCCCCGCCCUCCCAGCACCUUCCUUGAUGCUGACCCCUGCUCAGCCCCUCAAUUAAGGUGCUGCACUGCACCUCAUUCGCAGGGGGCCUCUUCGCCGGAACUCGCUUUCAGGUGGGUCUACAAUUAGUUGGGAAACAACGGGUUGCAAGGCUGACCUGGUCUGGGACAUGAGAAGGGGUGAACUACAAGGGUUUCAAGGUUGGAGGACGUUAGGUCGGGCCUCCGGGGGUGUGGGAUUGAGGCUGUGUUCUUCCACAAAUUGCAUCCCAAUUUUGCACAACUUAGCAAGAAAACCCCCCUCAGCCUUCCUAGAAACUAACAUUAAGGUAGUGGUUAGGUGUUAAAACCGUUCCAUGUACUUCACUGGUUUAACUUGACAACCGUAUGAGGUAUACAUGAGAUAUCUGCAUCCCACCAAAGUUAAACAACUUGCUCAAGGUCACAGAGCCAUUAAGCGGCGGUGCCCGCAGUUUUGCAGCCUCUCAUUUUCCACAGGUGGAAGUCAACGUUGGCAAGGCACAUACUGCACCCACACACAGAACCCAGUUACUCAGUGGGGUAUCAGGACACCACGUAGCCCUUAAUUUUCAACUAUACAGGUGCCAGGCUCCUGCCGCACACACUCAUCCACCUGCACCUACACCCACACUGAACCAGAGCACUAAAAUACAAGGAAACUUUUAUUUUCAAUUUUCAUCAAGAAAUUUGCUGUGGUUUUUUAUGCUUUUGGUUUUUUCCUUUUUUUUUUUUUCCACUUUAUUUCAUUUAGCCGCUCAGUGGCUAGAGCCGCUGGGUUCCUGGUAUUAAAAAGAUGCCAACAGAGGUAGCUGUGUCUCGCCCAGGGGCCCAGCCCACUCUGAAUACCCCCCAAAAAGGAGAAAAGAAAACACAAAAUAAACCAACAAAAUAAAACCAAAAGGAGGAAAAAAUUCAGAUCAUUUUCUUCAAGCCUGGCAGGAACCCACAA